GACGGAGGUCCCUAGCGUUGUUCGGAAUCACUGGGCUUAAAGCGCGUGUAGGCGGAGUGGCGAGUACCUUGUGAAAUCCCCGGUCUCAACCCGGGAAUGGCUGGGUAUACUGUCAUUCUUGAGGCAGGUAGGGGUCACUGGAACCUUAGGUGGAGCGGUGAAAUGCGUAGAUAUCUAAGGGAACGCCUGUGGCGAAAGCGGGUGACUGGGCCUGUCCUGACGCUGAGACGCGAAAGCGUAGGGAGCAAAC
Molecule: ribosomal RNA, 250 nt
Filed under: uncultured bacterium
Lineage: Bacteria
Description: partial 16S ribosomal RNA
Rfam family: Bacterial small subunit ribosomal RNA
Source: RNAcentral